Long non-coding RNA from Lolium rigidum, 3688 nucleotides. RefSeq lists it as uncharacterized. The record is from RefSeq and is a predicted model, not a curated record. Lineage: Eukaryota; Viridiplantae; Streptophyta; Magnoliopsida; Poales; Poaceae. The transcript has 3 exons.
UCGCACGUCCUCCCCAGAUUCCAGCGCCGCCGUCACGACCCGGCCCCAUCUCUUCCUCCUGGCUUGCUCCUGGCACGAUCGGUGGUUCUGGAAUUUGGGCGAGCGGUUGCACUGGCGAUUGCUGCUGGCGGCGAGCGGCUUCACCCGCGAUUGCAGCCGGCGGCUGAACCUGGGAUUGCGGCGGGCGGCUGCAGCUGGGGACAGCCGCCAGCGGUUUCGGGGCAAGCGCGCGACCUCGCCGGCGCGCGUCGCUGCGGUAGGCUAUGUGUGCGGGCGGCCUUGUACCCGGCGGCAACGGGUGGCUCCGUGGUCUCGGGAUUUUCAUGGGCGAGUGGCGUGGUUUGGUGAGCUCGGUACCCCUAUUUUGGCCACCACGGCUGGUGGGAUCGGUGGUGUUCGGCGCGAGUGGAUUCGUGCGAGCGGAGCGAUUAUUCUUCUCUGCCGGCGUUCUUCUACUGCUAUCACGGAUUUCAGCGGAAGGGGCAUGCCAUGGAGCCAGGGAAGAUCCUUGACUCCUCGUUGUUAGUGCUCCUUACCAUGGCUGAGAUUGAGUCCACAACACGCUUGGAACCAGCGCCGCCGGCUGGAAAAGCAGCGGCUCGUAUGCCUUUGGGGUCUCAUCGCCGGCUGAAAUCGAAUAUGAUCAUCACCCACCGUCCCCUAACUCCACUAGCCGCUGAAAUCAACCACCAGCCUCUGUACCUGAGUUACCCAACCUGCAGUUCACGUCCAAGAUCCGUGACAUCCAGAUGUCCUCCAAGGUGUUCUAGAAUGAGAUGGUAUGUAUGUACACAAUGCUUCAGAGACAUUUAUUAUUUGCUCAUACUUCCAUAAAGAAGUAAAGGUAUAGUUUCUUCAUGCAUACCAUCUGAUUCCUCACUACUCUUGAAUGUUAUGUCCAAUCUUUUCAAAGAUUUCCAUUAGUUUUAUCAUUACCACUCUGACACCACUCUCCUUGUCUUUGUUAAGGCUAUUUUAGCCUCUUGUUAGUGACCAUUUUAGAAUUUACUCUUAUGUGUCAAAUUUUCAGUGCUCCAGUGGUUCGACCUGUUAGAAACAGGUUAUAAUGUACUCAUUUGUUGGGUUAAGGUGCACCAAAUUUAGAAAUUUAAUCACUUUUAUAUAGUUCAGUAGUUGUCAAAUACUAUUUUAUUCUAUUAAUUUUGCAGGUUAUGAUGCUACUACUUUUUAAGUUUCAGUAUAGGUCAAAUAGUAUUUUUAAGUUUGAGUAUAGGUUAAUCUUUUCAUGCUUUGGUGUCUUUGUUUUCUUAGGAUUCUACUACUUUUUAAGUUUGAGUAUAUGUUACAUAUGAACUAAUGUGGACGUUUAUAUCAUUUAUUAAUCUGAUCUUUUUUCCAUGACAGGCAUCCAUAAUGCCAAGAAGAAAAAGUUUGGGGCCGUAGCAGGAAGAUACUUACAUGGAUCUUCUUGCUGCAUUAAUAGCCAGUUAGUUGUGAAGUUUGGCCUCUCAAGUAGUCUAAUCCUCGAUAACAACCAUAGAUUUUCUUUUGUUACCUAAGGCUGGUCAAUAUUUGUAUGGCGUUUGAAGUUUACAUCAUUCCUACUAAUAACUAAGUUUACUCAGAAGUGUUCCUCUCUUUCUUGUAGACGAACAUAGGUGUAUGUACUACUGUGAAUGCAGGAGAGCAAGCGUCAAACAUAAUAUUUCACUUUUCGGAGCCGAAGAGAAGACGACCAGAGACAUGAAUCUGGCAACUUCAGUAUGAGGAGCUCAGUGACAUUGAAAGAAGUCUUGAGAAAAUAACAAGAGAGGUGUUGUACAAGGUGACCAAGAAAGUGAGCAGAAAGUCGACUAGGGACAGGAUUUUUCCCACGUGAAUCAGAGGUACAAAGUCAAGUUUCCCUUGCUCCAUUCUAUAAUUGCUUCACUAUAUAUGAUCUACUGCAGUACUAGGGCUACAAAUUUGUGAUGUGUAGAGAUGAAACCACUAAUUGCGUAUGAAUUGCUUCAGGUACUAUUCAGUUCCCUUUUCUCCCUUUCUUUAUCAACUUCAGUCAUAAAUACAUGGUGAGGUAUUUGUUGUGACUUAUGCUCUAUUCAGUCAGAAAUACAUGCGGAGUUAUUCUACAUGAUGUGCCCUGAUUUCUUACUUUCCAUGUAUUUAUUUCCUGGGGGCCUAUCAACCUUUUCCAAUGAAUUGGCAAUAUCUAUGGCUGCACUUAAUAGUUGUUAUGUAGGCCAAUUGCCUCAUGGACCGAUAUGCUAUUCGACAAGAUGUGCCCUCAUUUCUUAUUUUCCAUGUAUUUAACACCUGAUGUUUAUCCAAUUUAUUGAAUCACCUCUGAUUUUUGUAUCUCAGUUUAAUUUUUCUCUUUUUUUUUGCUAAUUAUGAUGUAAGUUUCUGAGAGUGUUGGCUGUGAUGCACCGAUUUCAAAUCAAUAAAAGGAGGUAAUCUAUAAUAACCUUGUGAGCAGAGGUAAUUAUCUCUGUCUCUUUCACAUGAUGUAUUUAAGUUCUACUGUAUUUUGAAGCCAGUCAUGUAUGUCUCUUGGAGUGCUGUUAGUAAUGACUUAGUAACGAUUUACGCUUAACCAUUUUACAAUAUGGGAUGGAACUUUGUGCAAGUUUUAGAUGAUUUAGUUUUCUUUUGGUCCACUAUGAGGUGUGAAGUGGUAAAGAUCAACUAUUCUCACUUGUAUGCAUGACUUCUGGAGAGGUUACUUUCUUGCUCUCUUAAGUUUGAUAAUCUUACAGUACUUGGUAGAUGGACACUAUGCAUUCAACUAUCAUCAUUAUGUUACAAAGUAGUAUUCUGCAUUCAACCUUUGUACAUUAUAAGAUGGCAUUCUGCAGUGACAUACUGACAUGUUGUUUAGAAGAUUGUCAUUCUCCUGCUCCAAACAAAUGGCAUGCACAGUUUAAAUAAUUCAAUCUAUGCGCCUGGGUUAAGCAUGUAGCCAUGUUUCCGCAAAGGUUGAUUAUACAAUUUAAAUGCUUUAUUCCUAUGCAAUAUAGUUAAAUAAAUCUGUCUGGCGUUGACGAGCAUUUCUGCUUGAGAACAACCGAACCAAGCGUAUAUUGGUGUCUAUAUUAUAAGCUCUAUUUUAUGUUUGGAAGCUAGAAGCUCAUAUACUCAUAUUUUGGAUUCAAUAAUUUGUUGAACUGGUUAUUUAACUGCUGCAAGACACAGAUAUGUUCAGCUUUCAAUUUUGAAAAAAAUCCUAUCUUGUUUGACCCCACUGGGUUGGUAAUCCUGCCAAGUUCCUAAGGAAGCUUACAGUGGAGGAGAUUGCCUUCAUCUCCCACUCAGCAACCAACUAUUUCAACUUAGCUCAAGUUCAUGCAGCCGAGAAUGAAGAGCUUCGAUGAGAUUGAGCUUGAGAAGAAGUUGAGGAAGAAGUUUGCUCACAAAGACGAGGAGUACGACUCGAUGCUUGGAGUGGUCCGCGAGAUACCUCCGCAGCUCAUCCUUAAGGCGGCUGCCAUUGCUCAUUGAACGUUUUUCUCUUAUCAGGCCCCUGGGGAUGCCUUGUAAUGUUACAUGGUGACUUAGAACAUUUGACGUAUGUCUGGUGUUGUUCUCUGUUUUUUCCCCAAUAAGAUUUGGGUCGAGCAAUGUUGUAGGAUCGACCAUAUAUAGUACAUCUCUUUUCUAUUGAAAUGAAGAGAAUCCUGGUUUCACUUUUGCACAUUCGGAAUGUAGUGCACUGUGCACAUUAUUGAAG